AGUCAUUACUCUAAUACUUUACUAGUUAGAAAAAUGAAAUAAAAAUCAAAAAUUUAAUAAAUUUAAGAAAAAUAUGUAAACAUUUUAGUUGAAUUUAGAAAAACUGUAAUAAUUUUAAGCGAAAAAAAAAAACAAAAUCAGUCUGCUUUUCAAAGUGAUAAUAUCGUUGUCGCUAUCAAUUUACCGUGGAGAAAUUCAACUGGUUGAAGAAUUCAGCAUACAAAAAAUCACACAGCGACAAACACACACAUUUGCUUCCAAUAGAAACGCUGCGAUAAAAUGGGCAAUAAAUCAUUCCAAUCAUCACAUUCGCUCUUCAAACUGCUUCAAGUUACGAUAUCAUGAAUGACGCCAAACAAACAACUGCACAUUUGAAAUGCCACCACUUCUUCGAGUCCGUGGGAGAUCCAAUGGCCGAUAUGCAUCGAUUACAUUUCCUUCAUCGUAUUCUACAUGCAAAUGUGGUACGACUUAGGAAUGGAUCGUUGGAAGGUUGAAUUUAUAAGGCCAAAUUCUUCGGAACCAAAAAGAAAAAUUCCAAAAUUACUUUAUGUAAAAUGUAUACAACGGACCCAUGACACCAAAUGACAUGUUCCCAUUUCAGUGUCGAAAUGACAAAUAGACGUGGAAAGCAUUCGAAUUCAGUUCAGUUCAUCGCAUUUAAGUGCUAAUUUGACAAUGAGCCCAUGAUCAACAAAAAGCUUGACUUAUCGAUCACAUUGUCUUUCAUCGUGUCUCAUUGAUAACCCAGGCAAGGAUCGACUGGCAGCAUUGGAUGAAAUGUGUGUUUGUUGGCUUCAGUAGUCUGUAUAACGACUAAAAAUGAACUUUAAAUCAUUGAAUAAACUGCUAUAUGUAGUAAAUGAACAUGGCAAGAAAACGGAAACUUCAACACGAUUCGUAUCGAUAUAAGUGCAUCCAAUCAACGCAUAUAUCAAAAUCAACGAAUCUAAAAAUAUCUAGCAACAACUCCAAAUUCACUUUGAAAAGCCAUUGAUUUACAAUUUGAAAAUAAUUUAAGUUUUUUUUUUUAAUAUUUUAAGUUUUUUCUGAAAAUUUGAAAUUAGGUACAAAAAAGACAAUCAAAUGUGAAAUCAAAACAUGACAAAAAAUGUUCUACCAUCUCGAUUCGUCUUUCUGUAGUCUGGAUUUAAGCAAAUUAAUUUUCAAAGAUAUAAGUUGUCUUCGAUGACAGAUUUAAAAUGUUGUAUCAUUUUUUCAUGUUUUCGAGUUCGAAUUUUAACUGAUACCUAGGUGUGCGGAAAAAUCAAAAGUAAAACAUAAUCUUCAAACGAACUAAAUUACUAAGAAUUAAUUGGCUUUGAGAAAAACUUCAUGUGAACUAAAUAUUUCUAAUGGUAAGAUUAUUUGGUAUAGAAAUUCAAAUCGGGAAAUGAUUCAGUUUUUAAGGAGGCAUAUUGUUCUCUUUUUACUGAUAAAUACACAAAUAAAUGAAAGAAAAUAAAUUAAUUAAAUGACUUUAUUUAUUUCAAACUGAAUUAUUUUCCGCACUGUGGUAAAUUAAAAUCUGGAUAAGCAGAAUUAGUGUGGUACACAUUAGUUUUUUACAGUCUGUCCAAUUUAGGGUGUCCCAGGGAAAAAUAUGAAAGAAAUCAGCAUAAAUAAAGUAGAACUAGAAUAGAAAUUGUUAACUUACCUGAAAAAAAAUCAUACAAAAUGCUACCGUGUUCUCCUACAGACGAUUUCAUGUUGCAAUCGGGUGUAAGUCUGAAAUUAGUGAAAAAAAAAUUAUGACAUUAAAAACACUGAAUAUAAUUUUAAAAUCACAAAAAAAUCAUAAAUAUAAAUGAAAAUAAUAAAAAAGACUUACAAUUUGCGGCGCGAUGAGCCAAAACAAUGCGAAUUUGCCGAUUCAUUUGACAGAUUGACAACGUAAAAAAAAUAUAUAUGAAUUCUCUAGAAUAAAUACAGCGUAUGAUACGGUCGCACAACAUAGGUU
Molecule: long non-coding RNA, 1960 nt
Organism: Contarinia nasturtii (swede midge)
Lineage: Eukaryota; Metazoa; Arthropoda; Insecta; Diptera; Cecidomyiidae
Exons: 3
Source: RefSeq, a predicted model, not a curated record